CUACAAUGGCCGGUACAGACGGACGCAAAGCCGCGAGGCGGAGCAAAGUCCGAAAAAGCCGGUCUACAGUUCGGAUUGCAGGCUGCAAUUCGCCUGCAUGAAGUCGGAAUCGCUAGUAAUCGCAGGUCAGCAUACUGCGGUGAAUACGUUCCCGGGCCUU
Molecule: ribosomal RNA, 160 nt
Filed under: uncultured Pelotomaculum sp.
Lineage: Bacteria; Bacillati; Bacillota; Clostridia; Eubacteriales; Desulfotomaculaceae
Description: partial 16S ribosomal RNA
Rfam family: Bacterial small subunit ribosomal RNA
Source: RNAcentral